Molecule: non-coding RNA, 655 nt
Organism: Oncorhynchus mykiss (rainbow trout)
Lineage: Eukaryota; Metazoa; Chordata; Actinopteri; Salmoniformes; Salmonidae
Source: RefSeq, a predicted model, not a curated record
GACUCCCAAUCACCACCGGAUGUGAUACAACCUGGAUUCAAACCAGGGACUGUAGUGACACCGGUGCGCCACAUGGGAGCCCUAAACACUGAAUUCCUGCAUUUGGACGUGGGUGAGCUUGUACUGACCUCCUUCAUAGUCCAGAGUCGAGGUAAAUUCAAUAUUUUAACUGAAAUCUACUCCUCUUGUGCUUCAGCUUCACUAUCUACAAAUCAGAAAUGAUCACAGAGGGCUACAACUCUAAUCACGCACAUGGAGGAUCCUUACUACUGCCAUGAAGCACUGCUCUAAACCAGAGCAUGGAGUUGAAUCUCCCUGCUUGGGCAAGGCUCUGGACCUGCUCAGUGGCCCUGGACAGUAGAGGCCAUUUUCAUUGAGCUGUGCCACAAACACCCUGCUGGCAAGACUGUGCUUGGGAACCAGGUACAUGUCCUUCAUGGAGAGGGUGAUCCUUGACCAGACCUGGGACAGUAUGACUGCAGAGUGGUGCUUCAGGCCCCUUCCACACUGCAGUCAGGAGCACCCCACCAACCAGCAGCACUUACUGUACCAGCUUCCAGAGGACAGAACGGGGCAGGCUACACAGCGUGGCAGAGCAGACACUGUCACCCAGUCUGCCUACCACCUCCCUCCCUAUAACUCCAGUCUCCAAAGA